RNAcentral lists this ribosomal RNA (207 nucleotides) under uncultured bacterium. Its description in RNAcentral is "partial 16S ribosomal RNA". It matches the Rfam family "Bacterial small subunit ribosomal RNA", at positions 568 to 774 of the family's 1533-position model. The record is from RNAcentral.
CGUGUAGGCGGGAAGAUAAGUCAGGCGUGAAAACCAGAGGCUCAACCUCUGGCCUGCGUUUGAAACUGUUUUUCUUGAGUACUGGAGAGGUUGGCGGAAUUCCUAGUGUAGCGGUGAAAUGCGUAGAUAUUAGGAGGAACACCAGUGGCGAAGGCGGCCAACUGGGCAGCAACUGACGCUGAGGCGCGAAAGCGUGGGGAGCAAACA